GGCAUUCAGCCCAACAAGACUCGAGUUUCCCGCCAAAAUAGUCUAGCGCCAAGGAAACCCAACCCUAAAAUUGGGGCUAGAUAGCAGAAUUGAAGAGAAGAAAGCAUCAAUGGCGCCUCCCUCAUCUGCAAGUUCGGGUGAAGAUUCAUCAACCCCGGACACCACCCAAAGCCAGCUCCAGCAUAGUUUCCUUCUCCACAAAGCAUCUGAUAAAUUAAUUUCAAGUGGCAAAGCCCGGAGGAGGAGGAGGAGUAUUGAUCUGUCCCCCACAAAGACCGACGACGACGACAAGAAGCAAUCCGAUGAUGAACGCUGGUUGAGAAUGGAAGCUUUUCAGUUAGUUUGGUCAAGAAUUGAAUCCACUAUCAACCAUGUUCUGCGGAAUAUCAAUGCUCGGGUUUUCGAUCACAUACGCCGCUGGGUCUGGGAUUCCUUCAAUGCUAUCAAACCGCUUGCCACCAUUUCUCCUGGCCCUUUUCCUCUUGUCAGCCAAGUUACCUGUACACAGCUCUUCACUGGGCUCCUUCUCACCAAUAAUAUGGAGUUUGUUGAUGAUAUUUCGACAUUUCAAGAGCUGGGCCUCUGCUUGAAAUCCCAUGGAUGCCAUGUGGCUAACCUUUCCUCCUUCGACUUUUCAUCCAAGAAUGGGAUCGCUGGCUGUCUCACAAGUUUAUUGAGACAGUUUCUCAUGUCUACUUUUGAUGCUGCUGAUAUGUCCAUACUGGCAUCAUGGUACAGUCGGCAAGGAAACUAUGGUUCCCCUGUGGUUGUCAUUAUAGAUGAUAUGGAACGAUGUUGUGGUGCUGUCUUGUCUGAUUUCAUUCUUAUGUUGAGUGAAUGGGUUGUGAAGAUCCCAGUCAUCUUAAUAAUGGGCGUUGCAACAACUCUGGAUGCCCCUAGAAAAAUACUUUCUUCAAAUGUACUGCAGAAGUUGUGCCCUUGCAACUUCAAGUUGGGAUCGCCUGCUGAGAGGAUGGAUGCAGUUGUUGAGGCUGCUCUUGUCAGGCAGUGUUCUGGUUUUGCUGUUGGUCAUAAGGUGGCUGUUUUUCUGCGGAACUACUUCUUAAAUCAGGAUGGUACAUUGACAUCUUUUGUUAGAGCAUUGAAGAUAGCAUGUGUACAACAUUUUUCCACGGAGCCUUUAAGCUUCCUGCUUGGAUGGUUGCUUGUUAAAGAAGACAGUAAGGGAGUUCAGAGUGAGAAAGCGGUCAAGCUUGCUUCUGAGCUUUUAUCUCUUGCAAGGAAUCAAAUAGCUGAACAAACUGAAGUCACUAUAGUUCAUAGUUUGACAGAGUUGACGAAAUUGCAGAAGCUCUGGAGCACCGUUGUUCUGUGCUUAUAUGAAGCUGGGAAGUGUAACAAAACUCGAUUGAUAGACUUAUUUUGUGAGGCACUUGAUCCAGAUACUUACAACUUAUUGGCUUCUGAUGGUCUUACUGGAACUGGAAAAGGUUUUGUUCAAUCUUUGUCAAGUGAUCACUGUAUGCUUGAGCAGAACUUGAGCUACAGAAAGGGACGCCUUAUUUGCCAAUUAUUAGGUAGAGUGAGGGAUCUUCCUGCAGCAUUGCUUUGUCGGCUGCUGAAUGGUUGGAAAAAUCUCACUGUGGAUGUUCCUGAGAUUCAUGACAAGGUAAAGGAGCUACAGUCAAUAGUAAAAUUAGACGAAGGAAGUUGUAAACCAGAUUUGAAGGAGAUAUCCAGAAGACAUACAUCUCGGAGUCCCUUAAAGAUCGGUCAAUCACAAUCAAUAAAUGAAAAAGCCGCUAUACUAAUGGAUUGCAUGGUUAGGGAUUUCAUGAAGCCGAUUGAGUGUACAGCUUUUCACGAAAUUGUUUGCUAUAGAAAUGUUGAAAACCUUCAAUCGGCAUUAAUUGGAGACUCACGGAAAAUGAUUCAAGUUGAUCUUUUGGAGUUUCAUAAAACCCUACAAUGCAGUUGCUGCAGGAGGAGUGGCAACAUACCAUUGCCAUCAAUGCCUGAUACGUCUAUUAUGUACACCUUGGCUCAGGAGCAUGGCGAUCUUAUCAAUCUUCAUGACUGGUUCCAGUCUUUUAAAACCAUUGUCAUUCAGUACAGCAGAAAAGGGACAAGCAAACUGAAAAAGUCCCCACUUAAGAAAAGAAAGGAAAGGAAUGAAUCUGAAAACAAGAGUGAAGCAUCCAUUCAAGCCAGAUUUUGCAGGGCAAUCACAGAACUACAGAUUACAGGUCUCAUUCGGAUGCCCAGCAAAAAACGUCGUGAUUGUGUGCAGAGAGUGGCCUUUGGGCUGUGACAAGUAAUAGAAUUUUGGUUCGGUGGGCGCCCUUUUGGUUAGCGACUUGUUGAAGUUGUGUUUAUGCGGUUGGGUCGUUCCCUCUUGGCCGUUACAAGGCUACCAUGGUUGAAAACGUUCAAGUUUUACUAGUGGAAAGAAGUCAUUGGAGACCUUGCUUGACUCCGGUGGCGGUUCGGUGAUCCGACUCCGACAAUCGAUGACCGGAAUCCCUCGAUCGGUCAAUGGAAUCCGGCUACCGGACUGGUGAUCGGAUUCCGACGUCUGAAUUUAUUGCCCCCUAAUAAU
This is an RNA transcript of Rosa chinensis, 2560 nucleotides long. It is a transcript of the gene named origin of replication complex subunit 3, with no coding region annotated. Lineage: Eukaryota; Viridiplantae; Streptophyta; Magnoliopsida; Rosales; Rosaceae. The transcript has 17 exons. The record is from RefSeq and is a predicted model, not a curated record.